UGGCUGUGUCAUGUGUGAUCAGAAUGCACUUGAAUCUGAGGAACAUAAAUUAUCUAAUUGCCAGUUUGCUAAAGCCUGCUGGAAUUGCUUAUGCCCAGGAGUCACUCUACAAGGAUAAAAAAUAAAGGUGGCGACAAACUUUCAAGGAGGGGAUACAUCUGAUCUUUCACAUAACAGAAACAAAAUCUUAAUAUGGCAUGUACACCUUGCUGAAAAUAUUUAGAUCAAUUCCAGAUUAUUUUUGAAUUCAAGGGAAACAAUGGAUAGCAACUAAAACCGGACCAUUACCUGUCGUCACAAAUCAAGAAGCCGGCAUCAGAUCGAUCUUGGUGACCUCCUCGUGCGUUCCUGAAGCUGACACCAUCACAACAAUCUC
Long non-coding RNA from Triticum aestivum (bread wheat), 376 nucleotides. RefSeq lists it as uncharacterized. The record is from RefSeq and is a predicted model, not a curated record. NCBI's taxonomy places the organism in Eukaryota, Viridiplantae, Streptophyta, Magnoliopsida, Poales, Poaceae. The transcript has 3 exons.